Non-coding RNA from Podarcis lilfordi (Lilford's wall lizard), 79 nucleotides. NCBI's taxonomy places the organism in Eukaryota, Metazoa, Chordata, Lepidosauria, Squamata, Lacertidae. The record is from the annotation of a GenBank genome assembly.
GUCUGUGGACUGCUGCUCAGUUGGUUAGAGCAUGGUGCUGAUAAUGCCAAGGUUGCAGGUUCGAUCCCCAUAUGGGACA